RNAcentral lists this ribosomal RNA (785 nucleotides) under uncultured Pseudomonas sp. Its description in RNAcentral is "partial 16S ribosomal RNA". It matches the Rfam family "Bacterial small subunit ribosomal RNA", at positions 1 to 744 of the family's 1533-position model. The record is from RNAcentral. Lineage: Bacteria; Pseudomonadati; Pseudomonadota; Gammaproteobacteria; Pseudomonadales; Pseudomonadaceae.
CGAUGGGCCGACGUCGCAUGCUCCCGGCCGCCAUGGUUAGAGUUUGAUCCUGGCUCAGAUUGAACGCUGGCGGCAGGCCUAACACAUGCAAGUCGAGCGGAUGACAGGAGCUUGCUCCUGAAUUCAGCGGCGGACGGGUGAGUAAUGCCUAGGAAUCUGCCUGGUAGUGGGGGACAACGUUUCGAAAGGAACGCUAAUACCGCAUACGUCCUACGGGAGAAAGCAGGGGACCUUCGGGCCUUGCGCUAUCAGAUGAGCCUAGGUCGGAUUAGCUAGUUGGUGAGGUAAUGGCUCACCAAGGCGACGAUCCGUAACUGGUCUGAGAGGAUGAUCAGUCACACUGGAACUGAGACACGGUCCAGACUCCUACGGGAGGCAGCAGUGGGGAAUAUUGGACAAUGGGCGAAAGCCUGAUCCAGCCAUGCCGCGUGUGUGAAGAAGGUCUUCGGAUUGUAAAGCACUUUAAGUUGGGAGGAAGGGCAUUAACCUAAUACGUUAGUGUUUUGACGUUACCGACAGAAUAAGCACCGGCUAACUCUGUGCCAGCAGCCGCGGUAAUACAGAGGGUGCAAGCGUUAAUCGGAAUUACUGGGCGUAAAGCGCGCGUAGGUGGUUUGUUAAGUUGGGAUGUGAAAAUCCCCGGGCUCAACCUGGGAACUGCAUUCAAAACUGACAAGCUAGAGUAUGGUAGAGGGGUUGGUGGAAUUUCUUGUGUAGCGGUGAAAAGCGUAAAAUAUAGGGAGGGACCCCCAGUGCCAAGGGGACCCCCCUGGACUGAUACUGGC